Molecule: ribosomal RNA, 1490 nt
Filed under: Bacillus licheniformis
Lineage: Bacteria; Bacillati; Bacillota; Bacilli; Caryophanales; Bacillaceae
Also listed under: 1 other name
Description: bacterial LSU rRNA
Rfam family: Bacterial large subunit ribosomal RNA
Source: RNAcentral
GGUUAAGUUAGAAAGGGCGCACGGUGGAUGCCUUGGCACUAGGAGCCGAUGAAGGACGGGACGAACACCGAUAUGCUUCGGGGAGCUGUAAGCAAGCUUUGAUCCGGAGAUUUCCGAAUGGGGAAACCCACUGCUCGUAAUGGAGCAGUAUCCAUAUCUGAAUUCAUAGGAUAUGAGAAGGCAGACCCGGGGAACUGAAACAUCUAAGUACCCGGAGGAAGAGAAAGCAAAUGCGAUUCCCUGAGUAGCGGCGAGCGAAACGGGAACAGCCCAAACCAAGAGGCUUGCCUCUUGGGGUUGUAGGACACUCUGUACGGAGUUACAAAAGAACGAGGUAGAUGAAGAGGUCUGGAAAGGCCCGCCAUAGGAGGUAACAGCCCUGUAGUCAAAACUUCGUUCUCUCCUGAGUGGAUCCUGAGUACGGCGGAACACGUGAAAUUCCGUCGGAAUCCGGGAGGACCAUCUCCCAAGGCUAAAUACUCCCUAGUGACCGAUAGUGAACCAGUACCGUGAGGGAAAGGUGAAAAGCACCCCGGAAGGGGAGUGAAAGAGAUCCUGAAACCGUGUGCCUACAAGUAGUCAGAGCCCGUUAACGGGUGAUGGCGUGCCUUUUGUAGAAUGAACCGGCGAGUUACGAUCCCGUGCAAGGUUAAGUUUGAAAAGACGGAGCCGCAGCGAAAGCGAGUCUGAAUAGGGCGCAUGAGUACGUGGUCGUAGACCCGAAACCAGGUGAUCUACCCAUGUCCAGGGUGAAGUUCAGGUAACACUGAAUGGAGGCCCGAACCCACGCACGUUGAAAAGUGCGGGGAUGAGGUGUGGGUAGGGGUGAAAUGCCAAUCGAACCUGGAGAUAGCUGGUUCUCUCCGAAAUAGCUUUAGGGCUAGCCUCAAGGUAAGAGUCUUGGAGGUAGAGCACUGAUUGGACUAGGGGCCCCUACCGGGUUACCGAAUUCAGUCAAACUCCGAAUGCCAAAGACUUAUCCUUGGGAGUCAGACUGCGAGUGAUAAGAUCCGUAGUCGAAAGGGAAACAGCCCAGACCGCCAGCUAAGGUCCCAAAGUAUACGUUAAGUGGAAAAGGAUGUGGAGUUGCUUAGACAACCAGGAUGUUGGCUUAGAAGCAGCCACCAUUUAAAGAGUGCGUAAUAGCUCACUGGUCGAGUGACUCUGCGCCGAAAAUGUACCGGGGCUAAACGUAUCACCGAAGCUGCGGACUGUUCUUGCGAACAGUGGUAGGAGAGCGUUCUAAGGGCUGUGAAGCGAGACCGGAAGGACUCGUGGAGCGCUUAGAAGUGAGAAUGCCGGUAUGAGUAGCGAAAGAGGGGUGAGAAUCCCCUCCACCGAAUGCCUAAGGUUUCCUGAGGAAGGCUCGUCCGCUCAGGGUUAGUCGGGACCUAAGCCGAGGCCGAAAGGCGUAGGCGAUGGACAACAGGUUGAUAUUCCUGUACCACCUCCUCACCAUUUGAGCAAUGGGGGGACGCAGGAGGAUAGGG